This 1535-nucleotide ribosomal RNA is filed under the name Escherichia coli. RNAcentral's name for it is "bacterial SSU rRNA". It matches the Rfam family "Bacterial small subunit ribosomal RNA". The record is from RNAcentral. Lineage: Bacteria; Pseudomonadati; Pseudomonadota; Gammaproteobacteria; Enterobacterales; Enterobacteriaceae.
UUGAAGAGUUUGAUCAUGGCUCAGAUUGAACGCUGGCGGCAGGCCUAACACAUGCAAGUCGAACGGUAACAGGAAACAGCUUGCUGUUUCGCUGACGAGUGGCGGACGGGUGAGUAAUGUCUGGGAAACUGCCUGAUGGAGGGGGAUAACUACUGGAAACGGUAGCUAAUACCGCAUAACGUCGCAAGACCAAAGAGGGGGACCUUCGGGCCUCUUGCCAUCAGAUGUGCCCAGAUGGGAUUAGCUAGUAGGUGGGGUAACGGCUCACCUAGGCGACGAUCCCUAGCUGGUCUGAGAGGAUGACCAGCCACACUGGAACUGAGACACGGUCCAGACUCCUACGGGAGGCAGCAGUGGGGAAUAUUGCACAAUGGGCGCAAGCCUGAUGCAGCCAUGCCGCGUGUAUGAAGAAGGCCUUCGGGUUGUAAAGUACUUUCAGCGGGGAGGAAGGGAGUAAAGUUAAUACCUUUGCUCAUUGACGUUACCCGCAGAAGAAGCACCGGCUAACUCCGUGCCAGCAGCCGCGGUAAUACGGAGGGUGCAAGCGUUAAUCGGAAUUACUGGGCGUAAAGCGCACGCAGGCGGUUUGUUAAGUCAGAUGUGAAAUCCCCGGGCUCAACCUGGGAACUGCAUCUGAUACUGGCAAGCUUGAGUCUCGUAGAGGGGGGUAGAAUUCCAGGUGUAGCGGUGAAAUGCGUAGAGAUCUGGAGGAAUACCGGUGGCGAAGGCGGCCCCCUGGACGAAGACUGACGCUCAGGUGCGAAAGCGUGGGGAGCAAACAGGAUUAGAUACCCUGGUAGUCCACGCCGUAAACGAUGUCGACUUGGAGGUUGUGCCCUUGAGGCGUGGCUUCCGGAGCUAACGCGUUAAGUCGACCGCCUGGGGAGUACGGCCGCAAGGUUAAAACUCAAAUGAAUUGACGGGGGCCCGCACAAGCGGUGGAGCAUGUGGUUUAAUUCGAUGCAACGCGAAGAACCUUACCUGGUCUUGACAUCCACGGAAGUUUUCAGAGAUGAGAAUGUGCCUUCGGGAACCGUGAGACAGGUGCUGCAUGGCUGUCGUCAGCUCGUGUUGUGAAAUGUUGGGUUAAGUCCCGCAACGAGCGCAACCCUUAUCCUUUGUUGCCAGCGGUCCGGCCGGGAACUCAAAGGAGACUGCCAGUGAUAAACUGGAGGAAGGUGGGGAUGACGUCAAGUCAUCAUGGCCCUUACGACCAGGGCUACACACGUGCUACAAUGGCGCAUACAAAGAGAAGCGACCUCGCGAGAGCAAGCGGACCUCAUAAAGUGCGUCGUAGUCCGGAUUGGAGUCUGCAACUCGACUCCAUGAAGUCGGAAUCGCUAGUAAUCGUGGAUCAGAAUGCCACGGUGAAUACGUUCCCGGGCCUUGUACACACCGCCCGUCACACCAUGGGAGUGGGUUGCAAAAGUAGGUAGCUUAACCUUCGGGAGGGCGCUUACCACUUUGUGAUUCAUGACUGGGGUGAAGUCGUAACAAGGUAACCGUAGGGGAACCUGCGGUUGGAUCACCUCCUU